ACCGGCGCGACGGGUGCGUAACGCGUAUCCAACCUUCCCGUUACUCUUGGAUAGCCUUCCGAAAGGGAGAUUAAUACAAGAUGGUAUUCAAAUUCCGCAUGUUAUUUGAAUUAAAGAUUUAUCGGUAACCGGAUGGGGAUGCGUGACAUUAGGUAGAUGGCGGGGUAACGGCCCACCAUGCCUACGAUGUCUAGGGGUUCUGAGAGGAAGGUCCCCCACACUGGAACUGAGACACGGUCCAGACUCCUACGGGAGGCAGCAGUGGGGAAUAUUGCACAAUGGGGGAAACCCUGAUGCAGCGACGCCGCGUGAGUGAAGAAGUAUUUCGGUACGUAAAGCUCUAUCAGCAAGGAAGAAAUACCGACCUUUGGUCGCUAGACGGUACUUGACUAAGAAGCCCCGGCUAACUACGUG
Molecule: ribosomal RNA, 414 nt
Filed under: uncultured bacterium
Lineage: Bacteria
Description: bacterial SSU rRNA
Rfam family: Bacterial small subunit ribosomal RNA
Source: RNAcentral